Molecule: long non-coding RNA, 1973 nt
Filed under: Homo sapiens (human)
Lineage: Eukaryota; Metazoa; Chordata; Mammalia; Primates; Hominidae
Description: non-protein coding lnc-ARHGAP20-2:1
Source: RNAcentral
UCUUAAAGAAAUAAUAGGAAUGAGCAAGGUGGGCAGGGAGGAGCAGGUGAAACCACACACACACACACACACAAAUUACUUGUUUCAAAAACAUACUAAUUUCAAAUCAGACUAUAUUCUAGGAGCACAGAUGGCCUCUCAGUAAGCUUCUUACCAUAGAAGAAAGUGUUGUUAAUUAGAAGUGCCCUUCCCCCUAUAUUGCAGACUACUUAUUUUGGGUAGGAUGGAGGGACUUUUUAGGAAGCUCAUGUGGUUGUUUUAGUCUCCAGAAGCACAUACUGGCCUGGCUUUGGGGACCAUGUGAUUCUUCAAUGACUCCUGUUGCUUCCAAGGCCACAGAGUCAGAGCCUACAUUUUGAUCUUGGACUUCUAGCCUCCAGAAGCAGGAGACAAUAAAUUUCUGCUUUGCAAGCCAUCCAGGUUGUGUUACUUUGUUGGUUUGUUAAGAAAUGAACGCAGGGAACUUUUCUCCUAUUCCAAGUCCAUAGAAUCCCUUUCCGAGUCUUCCUCCACUAUUGCCUAAAUCUUCCCCUUCUAAAAACUAUCCAAGACUCCUAUGGCCUAGACUCUGGGGUCUGCUGUUUUCUGCUUAAAGAUAUGUCAUUCAGAUUAACUUUUAUGCAGUACUUAAGAGUAUGGACUUUGAAGUCAAAUAAACUGAGUUCAAGUUAACUUGGGGAAACUUGCACAAGUCAUUCAACAUCUCUGAGGCUCAAGUUCCUUGUUCAUGAAAUAAGUUGAUCAUAAUAGCUAUUAUGUUUGGUAGUCAUAAAGAUUAAAGGAGAUCCUGCAAGUAAAAUGUUCAGCAUAGCAUAUGGCACAGUAACAAGCCAAUAAAUACUAGCUGGCAUCAGAUUAUUCUGAUUCAUAGCCUACUCUUGUCCAUAGCUCCUGUCAUCACCUUGGAUGACACUAAUGUAUAUGAUAUGUAUAUGAUACAUAUCAUAUACAUAUCGUUAUACGUAUAUAAUAUACAUAGCAUUAUAUGUAUAUAACAUACAUAUCGUUAUAUGUAUGUUAUAUACAUAUCAUAUCAUAUACAUAUUGUUAUAUGAUAUGAUAUGUAUACGUAUACAUAUACAUAUGUAUACGUAUACAUAUACAUAUGUAUACGUAUACAUAUACAUAUGUAUACGUAUGUAUACGUAUACAUAUGCAUAUGUAUACGUAUACAUAUGUAUACAUAUACAUACACAUAUACAUACGUAUACAUACACAUAUACAUACGUAUACAUAUAUACACAUACAUAUACAUAUAUACAUAUACAUACAUAUACAUACACAUAUACACAUACAUAUACAUAUACAUACAUAUACAAAUACAUAUACAUACAUAUACAAAUACAUAUACAUACAUAUACAUAUAAACAUACAUAUACAUAUAUACAGAUACAGAUAUAGAUAUACAUAUACAGAUACAGAUACAGAUAUACAUAUACAUAUACAUAUCAUUAUAUGUACAUGAUAUCAUAUCAUAUACAUAUCAUUAUAUGUACAUAAUAUGUAUAUGAUAACAUCAUAUACAUAUUAUAUCAUAUGUGUACAUAUCAUAUGUAUAUGAUAACAUCAUAUCAUAUACAUAACAUAUCAUAUACAUAUCAUUAUAUCAUACACAUAUCAUUAUAUACAUAUGUAUAUGAUAUAAUGUAUAUGAUAUGUAUAUGAUAACACCCAACACCCUAACUUCCCAGGUUCUUGAUCUUUUCCUUUCUGGUAACAUUUGCCUCUUCUACACUUCAGCUACACAGCAACUCCCUGGACCUUGUUAGAAAUGGCAUCACCUCUGGAAUAUCCCACUUAAGAAUCACCAUUUCCCUUCCUUUUUGUUUAAACAGCUAUGUUAGUUUAGGAACACUAGCUGCUGCAACAGACAAAACACAAAAUCCCAGUGCAAUAUGAAUUUACUUCUCACAAUAUAAAUUUUAUAUUUCUCACAAUAUAAACGUAUUUCUCAACCUCUUAAAAUUUAAACU